GUCGAGGAUCUUCCGCAAUGCGCGAAAGCGUGACGGAGCGAUGCCGCGUGGAGGACGACGGCCUUCGGGUUGUAAACUCCUGUCACCCGGGAUGAAACACGACAGUACCGGGAGAGGAAGCUACGGCUAACUACGUGCCAGCAGCCGCGGUAAUACGUAGGUGGCAAGCGUUAUUCGGAUUUAUUGGGCGUAAAGGGUCCGCAGGGGGCUGGCCAAGUCUGGUGUGAAAGCCUUCGGCUCAACCGGGGAAGUGCACUGGAAACUGGCUGGCUAGAGGUCUGGAGAGGGAAGUGGAAUUCCUGGUGUAGCGGUGGAAUGCGUAGAUAUCAGGAAGAACACCAAUGGCGAAGGCAGCUUCCUGGCCAGAACCUGACCCUCAGGGACGAAAGCUGGGGGAGCAAACAGGAUUAGAAACCCCUGUAGUCC
Molecule: ribosomal RNA, 426 nt
Filed under: uncultured bacterium
Lineage: Bacteria
Description: bacterial SSU rRNA
Rfam family: Bacterial small subunit ribosomal RNA
Source: RNAcentral